Molecule: long non-coding RNA, 681 nt
Filed under: Malus domestica (apple)
Lineage: Eukaryota; Viridiplantae; Streptophyta; Magnoliopsida; Rosales; Rosaceae
Description: long non-coding RNA (MDOM_LNC019997)
Source: RNAcentral
UUUGUUUGACAAAACAAUGUUCUUUAUUAAUCAAUGAUUGGAUUAUGGUAAUCUAAUUAAUUAUCUCUAUAAUAGAGAUAAUAUGGUGGUGUUAACUGUUUAGAAAAUAAUGAUGCUUAAAACCCAAAAGGUUGCAAGAUAGUGACUAAUCCCAACUGAAGUUGUGAUACCUCUAAAACAUAAAUUACGAGUUGGUCAUAGAUGGACACUUUGGAUCGUGAGAUCCGGAUCCAAUACCUUCUUGUUAAAAUUGUAUGGAGGCGAAAUGUUCGAAUCUUUAUUCUUUUGGAAAGAAGAAAGAAUCACAAAGUUGUUGAGGUUAAUUCACUUAAAUGUUAGUGGCACUUGUCCACAAAACAUAAUACUACUCAUGUUGAAUAACAUUCACCGAAGAUCACUCUCGGUUGGACUAUAGUUUAUUUUGAAUAAACACAAGUCCGAAUACUUUGCAAAAUGUUUCAAAGAAAUUCAAGUAAUGUAAGUUGAUGAGUAAGACAUCUAAAGUAUUUACCUCCUUAGAUUUGAUCCAAGGAAAGGUAACACUUUAGAUAAGUUUCCUUGAAAGAUAUCAAGGAAAUAAGCAUCAUAAGAUAAUGAAUUUCUCCAUAAGGAGAAGAACGAACUCGAAUAAGAUUUAGUUCGUUAGAUGUUAUCUAUUACCCAUAUAUAGGAUAUAUACUU